This 495-nucleotide ribosomal RNA is filed under the name uncultured Rikenellaceae bacterium. RNAcentral describes it as "bacterial SSU rRNA". It matches the Rfam family "Bacterial small subunit ribosomal RNA", at positions 903 to 1382 of the family's 1533-position model. The record is from RNAcentral. Lineage: Bacteria; Pseudomonadati; Bacteroidota; Bacteroidia; Bacteroidales; Rikenellaceae.
GCCAGCCCGCUCAGAAACUCAAAUGAAUUGACGGGGCCCGCACAAGCGGAGGAACAUGUGUUAAUCGAUGAUACGCGAGGAACCUUACCUGGGCUAGAACGCAUUCGGAAUCAGGCCGAAAGGCCUGCGCCAGCGAUGGCCGCUUGCGAGGUGCUGCAUGGUUGUCGUCAGCUCGUGCCGUGAGGUGUCGGGUUAAGUCCCAUAACGAGCGCAACCCCUACUGCUAGUUGCCAGCGGGUCAUGCCGGGGACUCUAGCGGAACUGCCAGCGUAAGCUGCGAGGAAGGUGGGGAUGACGUCAAAUCAGCACGGCCCUUACGUCCAGGGCUACACACGUGUUACAAUGGCCGGUACAGAGGGCAGCCACCCCGCGAGGGGGCGCGAAUCCCGAAAGCCGGUCCCAGCUCGGAUCGGAGUCUGCAACCCGACUCCGUGAAGCUGGAUUCGCUAGUAAUCGCGCAUCAGCCACGGCGCGGUGAAUACGUUCCCGGGCCUU